GCGCCCGACCUCCAACCCUUUGUUGUUAAAACUACCUUGUUGCUUUGGCGGGACCGCUCGGUCUCGAGCCGCUGGGGAUUCGUCCCAGGCGAGCGCCCGCCAGAGUUAAACCAAACUCUUGUUAUUUAACCGGUCGUCUGAGUUAAAAUUUUGAAUAAAUCAAAACUUUCAACAACGGAUCUCUUGGUUCUCGCAUCGAUGAAGAACGCAGCGAAAUGCGAUAAGUAAUGUGAAUUGCAGAAUUCAGUGAAUCAUCGAAUCUUUGAACGCACAUUGCGCCCCUUGGUAUUCCGAGGGGCAUGCCUGUUCGAGCGUCAUUACACCACUCAAGCUAUGCUUGGUAUUGGGUGCCGUCCUUAGUUGGGCGCGCCUUAAAGACCUCGGCGAGGCCUCACCGGCUUUAGGCGUAGUAGAAUUUAUUCGAACGUCUGUCAAAGGAGAGGACUUCUGCCGACUGAAACCUUUAUUUUUCUAGGUUGACCUCGGAUCAGGUAGG
This 496-nucleotide ribosomal RNA is filed under the name Aureobasidium pullulans. RNAcentral's name for it is "eukaryotic LSU rRNA". The stretch from base 164 to 317 matches the Rfam family "5.8S ribosomal RNA". The record is from RNAcentral. Lineage: Eukaryota; Fungi; Ascomycota; Dothideomycetes; Dothideales; Saccotheciaceae.